GACGAACCGUGCAAACGUUGUUCGGAAUCACUGGGCUUAAAGGGCGCGUAGGCGGGUGGCCAAGUCAGGGGUGAAAUCCUCCAGCUUAACUGGAGAACAGCUUCUGAUACUGGCCGUCUUGAGGGGGGUAGGGGCAUGUGGAACUUCCGGUGGAGCGGUGAAAUGCGUAGAUAUCGGAAGGAACGCCGGUGGCGAAAGCGACGUGCUGGACCCUUUCUGACGCUGAGGCGCGAAAGCCAGGGGAGCAAACGGG
This 253-nucleotide ribosomal RNA is filed under the name uncultured bacterium. Its description in RNAcentral is "partial 16S ribosomal RNA". It matches the Rfam family "Bacterial small subunit ribosomal RNA", at positions 524 to 776 of the family's 1533-position model. The record is from RNAcentral.